This 633-nucleotide long non-coding RNA is filed under the name Ananas comosus (pineapple). RNAcentral's name for it is "long non-coding RNA (ACOM_LNC037661)". The record is from RNAcentral. Lineage: Eukaryota; Viridiplantae; Streptophyta; Magnoliopsida; Poales; Bromeliaceae.
AUAUUUAAUAUUUUAAAUAUUUUUACUUAAAUAAUAAAUUUAAAAAUUAAUGAUUAAUAGCUCAUGAUUGAAUCUGCUGGAUUUAGACCUGGCAAACAGGCGGGUUGGAUAACCCACAGGCGGGUCAUUUUAUUCGCGUGUUACUUACGCAUGGAUAAAAUUUACACGCAAAUUUUUGGGUAGCCAACAUCUUUAUCCAUACCCGCCUGCAAGUGGUGGUGGGUCGGUAUGCAGGUAACCCGCAACUUUUUUUCUUUUUGUCUCAUAUAUUUUUUAAAUGCAAAUACAUAUAUAUAUAAGUUGUAAAAAUAUAACAUAACUCAUUAUUUAAAAUAUCAUAACAUACAAUAAAAAUAUUUAAAGUCUUAAAACAAAAAAUUUUUGUAAUAUAAAGGACGCGAUAAGAAAUUAGGAUUAGAAUUUUUAGGAUGGAUAAAUAAAAAUAUAUGUAUUUUAAUUAAAAAAAUAUAUUUUUUAAUUAAAAAAUAUAUAUGCGGGUAACCAUGAGUACCCGCGAGUUAUCCAAAAUGCCCACAGCUUAAUGGAUACUUACCCAUUUUACCCGUAAUUUUUUGGGUUCGAAAAAUUGGUACCCAUACCCGCAAAUUUGCGGAUAACCCGCGGGCACCCGCG